GUCGGCAACGGCAAUGGAUUCCUGCCGGGCCUCGCGCCGAACCGCCAUUGAGGGCUGAUGAUUCCUACCUGCGG
Molecule: non-coding RNA, 74 nt
Filed under: Sphingomonas sp.
Lineage: Bacteria; Pseudomonadati; Pseudomonadota; Alphaproteobacteria; Sphingomonadales; Sphingomonadaceae
Also listed under: 1 other name
Description: Fluoride sequence
Rfam family: Fluoride riboswitch aptamer (crcB RNA motif)
Source: RNAcentral